UACGUAGGUGGCAAGCGUUGUCCGGAUUUAUUGGGUUUAAAGGGUGCGUAGGUUGUGUUGUAAGUCAGUGGUGAAAUCCGGCAGCUUAACUGUCGAUGUGCCAUUGAUACUGCAGCACUUGAGUACAGACGAGGUAGGCGGAAUUGACGGUGUAGCGGUGAAAUGCUUAGAUAUCGUCAAGAACACCGAUAGCGAAGGCAGCUUACUAGACUGUAACUGACACUGAUGCACGAAAGUGUGGGGAUCAAACAGGAUUAGAAACCCUUGUAGUCC
This 273-nucleotide ribosomal RNA is filed under the name uncultured prokaryote. RNAcentral's name for it is "partial 16S ribosomal RNA". It matches the Rfam family "Bacterial small subunit ribosomal RNA", at positions 524 to 796 of the family's 1533-position model. The record is from RNAcentral.